Molecule: long non-coding RNA, 754 nt
Organism: Xiphophorus couchianus (Monterrey platyfish)
Lineage: Eukaryota; Metazoa; Chordata; Actinopteri; Cyprinodontiformes; Poeciliidae
Exons: 2
Source: RefSeq, a predicted model, not a curated record
ACAACAAACCAGAAACAGAGAGCAGAGCUCAGUCAAACAAACAGCUGAAAGGAGGUUUAACUGGCUGCACAAAAAUGUAUCCAGGGGGCAUUCUGAAAAACAAAACAACCAAAACAACAACCAAAACAAAACAAGCAAAUGUGUCACAUGCAUGUACUGCACAGGUGUCUCUUCUCUUAAAUGCCUUCGACAACAUUUCCCGUUACACUUGAGGAAGUAUCGAGUCAAUUCAUGAGUGGUGACAGAAAAUCGAAGGCAUGCAGUGGUUUGUAGUCACAUUUUUGCACAGGCGAAAUGCUGUGACGGCAGCAUGAUGAGGGGAAAACGGCGGGAGGAAUCUCCCAACCGAGCACACUGAAGCUGAGCCAAAGGAAAAAAACAUUAGUUCAGACCAUUUUCAACUUUCUGUUAGGCCAGCAGUACGGCAAGCGUGGUUAAACAUUGCUCAAGUUCAUUAAAUCGUGAGUGAUAAUUAAUAAGCUAGCCUGUUUUCACUCGGAUGGUUACGCAUGUUGUAUUAAAAGGCAAAGCAAUUAUUAAAAAUAAAUGUAAAGACAUUUUGCAGGUAUCGGAUAGGAUUUAUUUAAAACUGUGUGACUUGCAUCAAAUGUUAUGGAUUUCCUUGAACAGGUUUUCACAAUUACUGCUGGAGUUCUGGCCAUUUCCUCCUGACAAAACUGGUGCAGCAAGUUUAUAUUAAUAUCUGCCCAGCUCUUUUCAACAGGACUGAGAUCAGGCUUUGUGAUGGCCUCGU